This 66-nucleotide transfer RNA is filed under the name Hypselodoris bullockii. RNAcentral describes it as "tRNA-Met". Lineage: Eukaryota; Metazoa; Mollusca; Gastropoda; Nudibranchia; Chromodorididae. The record is from RNAcentral.
AAAUAGGUAAGCUAAAGUUAAGCUAUUGGGCUCAUAACUCAACAAUGGAUUUAUCUCCUCUAUUUA